This 22-nucleotide microRNA is filed under the name Panagrellus redivivus. RNAcentral describes it as "prd-miR-1175-3p". The record is from miRBase by way of RNAcentral. Lineage: Eukaryota; Metazoa; Nematoda; Chromadorea; Rhabditida; Panagrolaimidae.
UGAGAUUCUUACAUCUUCAUUU